UUACCUGAGGAUCUUGUUAUAAUGCAGAUUCUGGUUCAGGUCUGAAGCCAGGCCCAACAUUCUGCAUUUCUAACAAGCUCCCAGCUGACACCAAU
Chlorocebus sabaeus (green monkey) is the source of this 95-nucleotide microRNA precursor. Lineage: Eukaryota; Metazoa; Chordata; Mammalia; Primates; Cercopithecidae. The record is from Ensembl.